CAUCAGCCCCUGCGGCUCACAGACAAGGCCGCCGCUGCCGAUCGACGGCUCGGCUGAAGCUGCCGUGUGAUAGAAAUAGAAACACACAUUCAUGUGAGCAGCAACACAUUCAGAUGUCACUGUGGGUUUGUCACCAGUAAAAUAAGAGGGCGGAGCGUCAUCGU
Acanthopagrus latus (yellowfin seabream) is the source of this 164-nucleotide long non-coding RNA. RefSeq lists it as uncharacterized. The transcript is spliced from 2 exons. The record is from RefSeq and is a predicted model, not a curated record. Lineage: Eukaryota; Metazoa; Chordata; Actinopteri; Spariformes; Sparidae.